GGCCUAAAUUGUGAGAUAGAAAACAAGAAAACAUAUAAUUGUAUACAUUUAUUCUCUUAACAGUUACAGAAAAAAAUAGCUUUAAAUACCCCUAAAGUUGAUCAACGCACCCGUGCGUCAAUCUAAUUAACAUAAAAACAAAUAUAGAAGUAGUUUUGUGACACCCCAAAAAAUGGGUUAAAUGUGUAAAUCCUGAACUUUAUUACAUCUCCUAGAUGUAGGACAGACAAUUCAAAAACAUAUUCCUUAUUAUUUAUUUUUGUACUCUGUUUUGCCAUUUAUGAGUGUGUUAUUCAAUGCAUUUCUAUAGGUUGUAGCAUUAAAAGGCCAAAUUCAAUAUUUUACCCCAAUGAAAAAUUAAAUAGCUAAAGGAUCCAUGGUAUGAUCUUUAAAAAAAAAUCCAUGUUAGCUCAGUAGAACCCCCCCAUAUACCCCAUUGCAGGUUGUCAUGAUUCGGAAAUUGCUGUCACAAUAAAUAUUCUACUUCCAGAUCCAGUUUAUCAAAUUAUAGGUGCAGAAAUUAACAGACAAGAUACCCAAGAUUAUAACAUCUGCAUUCAAACAGGCACACACAUGUAAAGCAGUGCACUCAAAUUAGAACAAACCUUUAUACUUCAGUGAAACGUUAAUCAAAUAUGAUUCAUGACUGUGCAGUUAGCUAUAUAGACUACCAGAUGAUCUGUGUAGUUCCCAAAAAAAGUAAUGAUUGUGAGGUCCCCCUGUGUAUGAUUAUAAUCAUAUAUUGUAAUUUAGUGUUUGGCAUAUAUUUGCAUCCGUGUACAGUUCCUGCAAAGUUUAAAGCCUACAUUGUAAGUUGCAUGUGUCUAGCCUAAAUAAAAACAUCUUGGCAGGAAUAUCCACCAUUUCACCAACUCCUCCAUUACAUUUGGAGUAUAUUCCAUUACUAUCUCUCUAUUCCAAGCUAAGCUUUAUGCAUCUCUUCUCCAAGACGUCCUAUGAAUGUAUCUGAAACCAUUGUAUGCACUCCACAAGUUAUUUUCAGACUAGUAAAUUGCGUAUAGAGGGAAAAAAAUAUGCUAAACGUAAUAUUUGCAUUAGAUCCUUACACAUUAAUAUGUUAAAGCAGGGAUGUCAAACUCAUUCCAUGAAGGGCUUAGUGUCUGCGAGUGUUUCGUUUUUAAGACCUUAGACAACCAGGUGAGGGGAGUUCUUUACUAAUUAGUGACCUUAAUUAAUCAAUCAAGGGAGGAACAAAAACCAGCAGACACUCAGCCCUCCGUGGAAUGAGUUUGACAUGUAUGUUAAAAGAAGGGUACAUACUGUAUAGAAAAUUGAUUUUGCUCUCAGUAUAUGUUACAAAACCACUUUUCUCUACCUAUCAAGCCUUUAAAACCAGAAAAUAUAUUUACCUCCUCCACAAAGAACAAUUCUCUGAAAUUGUCCACAAAGAUUAGACUAGAACAGACUAGUCCACAGUCCACCUCUCUCCCUCAAACCACUUGCUCUUACCACAUCAAUAGUGUGAUCAGAAACAUAAUGUAUCUAACAAAUCAAAAGUUCAUUUCCAGAUAUGGCAUGUGAUGUUUGAAAGGGUGUUUCUGUUUUAUUUGGUCUUCUCUGGUUCUGUUUGUACUCCUGCAUCUGACUGGCGUUUGCCC
Oncorhynchus tshawytscha (Chinook salmon) is the source of this 1619-nucleotide long non-coding RNA. The record is from Ensembl. Lineage: Eukaryota; Metazoa; Chordata; Actinopteri; Salmoniformes; Salmonidae.